UACGAAGGGGGCUAGCGUUGUUCGGAAUUACUGGGCGUAAAGCGCACGUAGGCGGAUCGAUCAGUCAGGGGUGAAAUCCCAGGGCUCAACCCUGGAACUGCCUUUGAUACUGUCGAUCUGGAGUAUGGAAGAGGUGAGUGGAAUUCCGAGUGUAGAGGUGAAAUUCGUAGAUAUUCGGAGGAACACCAGUGGCGAAGGCGGCUCACUGGCUCGGUACUGACGCUGAGGUGCGAAAGCCAGGGGAGCAAACGGG
Molecule: ribosomal RNA, 253 nt
Filed under: uncultured bacterium
Lineage: Bacteria
Description: partial 16S ribosomal RNA
Rfam family: Bacterial small subunit ribosomal RNA
Source: RNAcentral